This 950-nucleotide long non-coding RNA is filed under the name Malus domestica (apple). Its description in RNAcentral is "long non-coding RNA (MDOM_LNC015303)". The record is from RNAcentral. Lineage: Eukaryota; Viridiplantae; Streptophyta; Magnoliopsida; Rosales; Rosaceae.
CAAGGAGCUUGCUCAAGUACAUAGAGCUUAAUUAUUAUGGUAGUGACGUGGAUCUUCGUUUUAGCUUUGGAAUCGAGGUAGGGGUUUCUUGGGGAACUUAUCACUACUAGGGUAUUUGUCUUGUUUAAGUUUUGUGAAAUAUGUGUUAUACUUGAUAUAUCUCUAUAAUUGAUAUAAUUGUGUAUUUUGGAAUAUGAUAUUCAUAUUACUAAUCGUGAUAAUGUUGAUUAUAUGCAUAUGUCAUUGCAUAUUUGGAGUGGAAGGUUUUUAUUGGUUUAUUCAAGAUUGGGAUAUGGAAAUGGAAUUAUCUUUUGUGUGGUUGAGUUCGACUCUUGUAGGGACCAGCAAGGGUGGCAAAAGUGAAAUUAUAGGAAUGGUAUGAAGUAGUGGGGACUUUGGCAACCGAGAUGCAAACAAGAUGACCAACAAAAAGGGGUAUUUGGGACAACUAAGUUACGAGGGUUGGAUUGUAUUAUAUAGCAUUCAUACCACCGCUACAGUGGUAAAAUGCAUGGUAUGGGACAUGCAAGUUCGCGUGUUUUAUUAUAUAAAUUAACGGGUUGGGGUAAUUGAAGUUAAGUUGCAUUUCAUGGUUCAUCAUUUAAUUAAAUUGUGAUUAAUGAUAACAUGUUAUAAUCGAUUUUGUGAGCAUGACACUUGGUUUAGCCUUGACAAUUAUCCUUGAUAAGAUUUAUGUCCCUACUGAGCUAUGGUUUCACUCACCCUAUACAUUUUAGACCUUGCAGGUUCGGUACAAGAUUAAAGAAAGGUAGACGAGUUGACGUUGUGUUAGACGAGGGAUUUUAAGGAUUUUACUAUCUUGUACACCUGUAAGGAUUUUGGAGUUAUUUAUAAAAGAGAAGUUUGUUUUCCGUUUUUACUUUUAUUUUUACUCGCACCCCUGGCGCAAGGUCAUAUUUUUUCGUCGACUCUAGUCCGGGGCAUGACAU